CUCAGAACGAACGCUGGCGGCGCGUUUAAGCAUGCAAGUCGAGCGGCAAGGGCCAUCGGGCCCCUAGAGCGGCGGACGGGUGAGUAACACGUGGACAAUCUGCCCCCCGGACCCGGGAUAGCCCCAGGGAAACCUGGAUUAAUACCGGAUGAGACGGGACCCGCGAUGGCGGGACCCGGGAAAGGCGCUGCGGCGCCGCCGGGGGAUGAGUCUGCGUCCCAUUAGCUAGACGGCGGGGUAACGGCCCACCGUGGCGACGAUGGGUAGCCGGCCUGAGAGGGUGGACGGCCACAUUGGAACUGAGACACGGUCCAGACUCCUACGGGAGGCAGCAGCUAAGAAUCUUCCGCAAUGGGCGAAAGCCUGACGGAGCGACGCCGCGUGAACGAAGAAGGCCGUGAGGUUGUAAAGUUCUUUUCGGGAGGGGGAACAACCGUGGCAGGGAAUGGCCGCGGGAUGACGUGAAUCCCGGAAUAAGCUCCGGCUAACUACGUGCCAGCCGCAGC
Molecule: ribosomal RNA, 506 nt
Filed under: uncultured bacterium
Lineage: Bacteria
Description: bacterial SSU rRNA
Rfam family: Bacterial small subunit ribosomal RNA
Source: RNAcentral